This 631-nucleotide ribosomal RNA is filed under the name Mesodesma donacium. Its description in RNAcentral is "SSU rRNA". The record is from RNAcentral. Lineage: Eukaryota; Metazoa; Mollusca; Bivalvia; Venerida; Mesodesmatidae.
CUGAAACUUAAAGGAAUUGACGGAAGGGCACCACCAGGAGUGGAGCCUGUGGCUUAAUUUGACUCAACACGGGGAACCUCACCCGGCCCGGACACCGUUAGGAUUGACAGAUUGAGAGCUCUUUCUUGAUUCGGUGGGUGGUGGUGCAUGGCCGUUCUUAGUUGGUGGAGCGAUUUGUCUGGUUAAUUCCGAUAACGAACGAGACUCUAGCCUGCUAAAUAGCUCGGGGAUCCUUCGCGAGUCCCCGCUAGCUUCUUAGAGGGACAGGUGGCGCUUAGCCACACGAGAUUGAGCAAUAACAGGUCUGUGAUGCCCUUAGAUGUUCGGGGCCGCACMUGCGCUACAAUGAAUGGAUCAGCGUGCGUCUCGCCUGGUCCGAAAGGAUCGGGAAACCCGUUGAACCCCAUUCGUAAUAGGGAUUGGGGCUUGCAAUUAUUCCCCAUGAACGAGGAAUUCCCAGUAGGCGCGAGUCAUCAGCUCGCGUCGAUUACGUCCCUGCCCUUUGUACACACCGCCCGUCGCUACUACCGAUCGCUCCAGUUAAUGAGCUCUUCGGAUUGGACCCGUGGGCCCGCUUCGCGGCGGGCCGUCGGUGGCCGAGAAGAUGCGCAAAUUGACCGGGGUAGAGGUC